CAAAAGCUAGGUCUGUAUCAACCUCUAGCAAAUUUAGAGACGCGAUGGAAGGGAGAGAGCUGUUUUAUCUGCAGUGUGAUAUAAAAAUACCAGAAUUGUUAUUGGCAAUGAAGUCACAGGUGCUGACCGCACUGUGACACUGGAAGAAACUAAAGCUAGAGGUUAGUGAAAAUCAGGAGGUAUUUUCCCCACAUCCAACCUCAUGGGCCUUCCUGAAUUCCCUCCUAAAUUUUCCACCUGGAGGGUCGACAGGCUGAGGAGGGAGGCUAAGAUACAGGAGAGGAGGCGCAGAGGCCAGGCAGAAAUCCAACUGCCCAACACUGCCUCAGCCUGCAGGAACCCCUUUUCCAGACAGAAAAGGACCUUGAGAAACUUCCUCAAGACUGAAGGUCAAGAGGAAGCUGCAUGCGGAGAGCAGGGGUGCACAGCAGGGGGAGCAGCUCAACUGCUGCGCCCUGAGGCAGACGAGAGCUGCACGCACCCGAGAGCUGUGCACACGUCCGGACUCUUGCUUCUCACGUCAUGCUCAGGGAGCACAGCAAGGCCUGGAUUUCUGCUCAUGAAGGGGCCGCGGAGAGCAACCCCACCCUUCUCUUCCUGCUUAACCGACCCGGGAAUGGUGACAUCCCAACAGCUGUGGGCCUCUGAGGGCUGCACAGAUAGCGAGUUGAAAGUCUUAUAUGUAUGGUUGCAGUCCAUUUUUGAGAUGCUAAAAGUUACUAAUUCUGUGCUGUAGAGGCUAAGAAAUGGGCCCAGAGAGUCCGUGUUGGCCGUAGAAUGAGCACCAUGUCUCAGAACCGCCUGCUUUGUUGAACUUGGGCCCUCGUAGACUAGACCUUGGGUCUAGGUUGAAUGUUAUCCUGCCAAUGUGUAUGUGUGUCAGAGUCCUAGGAGCCUGUCCCUCAGAACUGUACCCUCGUUUGUAAACAGGGUUGUUGCCCACGUAAUUAGUUAAAAUGAGGACAUCCUGGAAAAAAGAUAAACUAAUCCAUCCUGACUGAGGGAGAGAUUAAGAAAGAGAGAGGGGGAACCGGGGGGAGGAGAGAGAGAGGCGCAGGAGAGGGAGGGAGAGGGAGGGAGGAAGCGAGGAUACCGGGAGGGAGGGGGAGAGAGGCGGAGAGGAAGAGUCUGCAAAGACUGGAGUUCUGUUACCACAAACCAAAGAGCUACCAGAAACAAAGAAUAUGGAAACGAAACGCUUAAAGAAAAGCAGAUAAGCCACUGCACCUAGUGCCACAGCUAAUUCUGACAUCUUUACAAGUCACUUACCUUCUCUAGACCAGAAAUGGAUUUCACCUCUAGCUGAAGAGGUUGAGUUUUUCUUGAGUCACCCCAUUUAUCUGCCCAUAAGAGCAACAUAAAACUCCUCGAUUUGGAAUUUGCCCGAGGUGACCUACUGC
RNAcentral lists this long non-coding RNA (1400 nucleotides) under Fukomys damarensis (Damara mole-rat). RNAcentral describes it as "lncRNA (ENSFDAG00000024048.1)". The record is from RNAcentral. Lineage: Eukaryota; Metazoa; Chordata; Mammalia; Rodentia; Bathyergidae.